GAUGAACGCUGGCGGCGUGCUUAACACAUGCAAGUCGAACGAAGCACUUUAUUUGAUUUCCUUCGGGACUGAUUAUUUUGUGACUGAGUGGCGGACGGGUGAGUAACGCGUGGGUAACCUGCCUUGUACAGGGGGAUAACAGUUGGAAACGGCUGCUAAUACCGCAUAAGCGCACAGCAUCGCAUGAUGCUGUGCGAAAAACUCCGGUGGUAUAAGAUGGACCCGCGUUGGAUUAGCUAGUUGGUGAGGUAACGGCCCACCAAGGCGACGAUCCAUAGCCGGCCUGUGAGGGUGACCGGCCACAUUGAGACUGAGACACGGCCCAGACUCCUACGGGAGGCAGCAGUGGGGGAUAUUGCACAAUGGGCGAAAGGCUGAUGCAGCGACGCCGCGUGAGCGAAGAAGUAUUUCGGUAUGUAAAGCUCUAUCAGCAGGGAAGAUAAUGACGGUACCUGACUAAGAAGCACCGGCUAAAUACGUG
This 481-nucleotide ribosomal RNA is filed under the name uncultured bacterium. RNAcentral's name for it is "partial 16S ribosomal RNA". It matches the Rfam family "Bacterial small subunit ribosomal RNA", at positions 28 to 507 of the family's 1533-position model. The record is from RNAcentral.